GCCUGCAACUCGGCUGCAUGAAGCUGGAAUCGCUAGUAAUCGCGGAUCAGAAUGCCGCGGUGAAUACGUUCCCGGGUCUUGUACACACCGCCCGUCACACCAUGGGAGUAGGUAAUGCCCGAAGUCGGUGACCUAACCGGAAGGAAGGAGCCGCCGAAGGCAGGACUUAUAACUGGGGUGAAGUCGUAACAAGGUAAC
RNAcentral lists this ribosomal RNA (198 nucleotides) under uncultured bacterium. RNAcentral's name for it is "partial 16S ribosomal RNA". It matches the Rfam family "Bacterial small subunit ribosomal RNA", at positions 1303 to 1500 of the family's 1533-position model. The record is from RNAcentral.